GGACCCCCACUAGGGGCUCUGGGGUGGAUGGCGGCUGACGUAGGUGUCUGUGCGGGGCCGUGGAGGCUCGAGGCCUUAGUGACUGGAAUGGGGGGUCUCUGGAUGGUGCGUGACGGGCAGGUUACGGCUCAUCGCUUAGAACGCUUAUAAAGGACUCCGGUAGGGGAAGUCUGGGGCUUUGGAGAGAGAUGAAUAUUAACGUUUGUCCUGGUGACAAGGCGGGAGGCACGGAGUGGCCAUCAUCCUCUAAGUGGCUUCUCUAAUCUGCCAUGAUAUGCAUCCAUGUGUUGGUCACUGCAUUUAGCUUUCUUGAACAUUCUAAGGGCACUAGAUGUCUUCCAGAGGGGGUGGAGAACUGAGGAGAUGAGCACCAUGACAUGCACGUGAAGGUCAGAGGACAAUAUUUCCAGAAUUAAGAUAAAUUAUUGGUGGGGGCUGGAGAGAUGACCCAGUGGUUAAGAGCACUGAUUGCUCAUGCAUAGGACCUGGAAGAAGGAGAAUUGAAGGUCAGCCCAGGCUAUAUAGUAAGUCCCUACUUCAAAACAGACAAAAUCUUCUGCUUGGGUUGAGGGUUGGGGGUAGGGGUUUGGCACACACCUCUAAUCCCAGCACUUAGGAGGCAGAGACAGGCAGAUCUCUGAGAGUUAAAACCAGCCUGUC
Non-coding RNA from Peromyscus maniculatus bairdii (prairie deer mouse), 660 nucleotides. The record is from RefSeq and is a predicted model, not a curated record. Lineage: Eukaryota; Metazoa; Chordata; Mammalia; Rodentia; Cricetidae.